Molecule: ribosomal RNA, 308 nt
Filed under: uncultured bacterium
Lineage: Bacteria
Description: bacterial SSU rRNA
Rfam family: Bacterial small subunit ribosomal RNA
Source: RNAcentral
GAUGAACGCUAGCGGCAGGCUUAACACAUGCAAGUCGAGGGGCAGCAUGCUGAUAGCUUGCUAUCAGUGAUGGCGACCGGCGCACGGGUGAGUAACGCGUAUCCAACCUGCCUGUCACUCAGGAAUAGCCCGGUGAAAACCGGAUUAAGUCCUGAUGAUAUCAUUAGAGGGCAUCUGACGAUGAUUAAAGGUUACGGUGACAGAUGGGGGAUGCGUCUGAUUAGCUUGUUGGCGGGUAACGCCCACAAGGCAACGAUCAGUAGGGUUCUGAGAGGAAGGUCCCCCANAUUGGAACUGAGACACGGUCC